Molecule: non-coding RNA, 1057 nt
Organism: Phascolarctos cinereus (koala)
Lineage: Eukaryota; Metazoa; Chordata; Mammalia; Diprotodontia; Phascolarctidae
Source: RefSeq, a predicted model, not a curated record
CGUACCUUGAUGAAACUGCAUUGUCAUGGAAUGAUAAUAUUUGUGGAUCACUGUGCAUGGAAAACAUCCUUUCAAGAAUGUGGGAGUACUACUCUGGGACUUCUUUACAUGUUCUAGAAACCUCAUAACUGGGAAAACCUCAUCAUCCUGCUGGAUACCAUCAGCCUUGGGAUUCCACUCAAUGACAUGCUCUGUUCCUCUGAUUAGAGGGUGAAGCCAUGGAUUCUAAAACCUCCAUUUAAGGAGGGAACCCAGCUCAGAACCUCUCCUCAUUUCUCAUUAAGCUGAAUUACUUUGGGACUUCUCUCUCUCUUGAGUCUUCAGAUAUCUGAAGGCCAUUCAUGUGGAAGAUGAUCUGUUUGACCACAGAAAGACAAUUAGAAAUAAUGGCUGGAGGACGUAAAGAAGGAAAUUUUAAACUCUAACCUUUGGUUCCAAAAAGCUCUUGUAUGCACAGUAGCUACACCCUGGUAAACUGUCUCAGAAGAUGGGCUAAACCAGGUUGAUGAAAGUAACCAACAGACCUCAAAGCCACCAGUGAGGUGGGAGGUGUUGUCCAUCCCAAGCAGGUGAAGACUUCCCCUGACAGAAUGGGCAGAUGAGAACAAUUUGUUCCAACAGCCAUGAAGGGAGCAGUAGCAGGUGCUAUGGAGCACUUAGAACUUGGUCAGACAUUGAAGAUGCUAAGGUAAUCCACUGCAUGCUGGGCCAUUACCGGUUAUCCUGACUUUUGUCUUCCACUGGACUUCGAUGACUCUGAAAGAGGGAGUGCAACUCUGCCUCACUUACAUCCAAUUCACACUCAAGUCAUGACAUCACCUCAUGAUGCCACCCAUCCUCUUCUAAAACGAAGGAUGAACACUAGCAACAAACUUGAGGUGGCUGAUUGCAAACUUUGCUGUAGCAAAACAUGUGAUAUUGUUCGUGGAAAAUAACAUUAAAGCCUCAGUGUUAGCACUGCCUGCUAGGUGGAACUGUCGAGUCCAAAUUAAAUUGUUCCUGCCUUGUGAACGAAUCACACAUUCUGGAUCCUUCUCUACCACAGUUUUCAGCGUUC